RNAcentral lists this unclassified non-coding RNA (200 nucleotides) under soil metagenome. Its description in RNAcentral is "partial contains internal transcribed spacer 2 and large subunit ribosomal RNA". The record is from RNAcentral.
UGUUCGAGCGUCAUUAUGACCAAUCAAGCUCAGCUUGGUAUUGGGGCCUGCCACAAGGCAGCCCUUAAACGCAGUGGCGGCGCCGCGUGGCUCUCAGCGUAGUAAUACUUCUCGCUACAGGGUCCGCGUGGAUGCUCGCCAGCAACCCCCCAACUCUCAGGGUUGACCUCGGAUCAGGUAGGGAUACCCGCUGAACUUAA